CAAAAUGUCCCUAAGUAGCCUCCAGGUGCUGGCUUGUUUAUAGCCUGCAGCUGGCCGGCCUGGGGGAGGGGCCGGAAGCCAGCAGCCAGCCACCCCAGGAAGGCCCCAGCGGGGAUGUAGAAUAGCCUGCACUUCUGAAGUCCUCUCCCUGGUGUGCGGACCCCCGGCUGACAGGAAGUCUGCAGGCAGGUGGAAGAGGGGCCCCGGGGCUGGGGGGAGGGGUGUGUAGGUGCAGUGCAGGAGCCGGUUCCGAAAGUUACACGAAGCGGUGCCUGAGAACUUGGGACAAAGUUUGGCAAGGAGCAACCAGAGGGCUGGAGAAGCAGGGGCUCCUGGCUGGGGCUAGGCCCUUUAUGUAGGAAGCAUCCCCAACAGCACUCAAAAGUUGGUCCUGCCAUACCCACCUGCUAGAUGCAGAAACUGAGCUCAGAGAGUUAGGUGCCUUCGCCAAGGUGGCCAGCAUGCGGGAAUGGGAGGCAAGCCUCAAACUCUUGCUCCCUGGGUGGUGCUGAAUGGCAGCAGGAGGGUGUUCGGGGUCUGAAAGGGGAGAUUAGCACUUGUGACAAACCUUGGCUGCCCCAAGGGCUGUUUUUGUACUGAGCCCAAGGCGCUCUACCACUGAGCUACAACCCCAGGCCUGUCAAUUUUAUUUUGUUUUUAAUUUUUUUUUUUUUGAGGCAGGCUCUUACUCUGCAGUUCCGGCUGACCUUAAACUCACUAUGUAGGCCAGGUUGGCCCGAGGCCCUGACUUGGCCACCCAGGUGAUCCUCCUGGCUCAGCUUCCCAAGUGUUAGGGGUACAGGUAUGUGGCACCACAUCCUGCUCUCAAUUUGAUUUUUCAGACAGGGUCUCUGAGUUCUGCAGGCUGACCUAAAAUUUGUGAUCCUCCUGCCUCAAACUCUCCAGUAGCUCAGAUUACAGGUAUGGCCACCACACCCUGCUAAAUUAUUUUUUCCAACUGAAAUUUGGAUCGAGGUCAUUGGGCAUUCACGUGCAGUCGUAAGGAGCAAGACAGAGAGAUCACAGGGACCCUUUCCUAUACAACGUCACAGCCAGGGCAUCAACACUGGCACGGUCCACCUGUCGGGUGCGGAUCUUUCAUCUCACACUCCUGCGUGGCCUGGACAGUUUACCCUGUUGAUGGUGGGGGGGGAGGGUUUGGAAAGGUGUGAGGCAGUUGGCAACGAGCCCAGCAGCCAGGACCAAUCAUCAUCCGGUCCAGGGGAAAACAGCAGCAAGCGGUUCUAUGACAGCCUCGCACCUCCCACUGGCCUGCCACGGAGAAGGAUUAGGGUGGAUGCGAACAGUGUUAUUACUGCCACCUUCCUAUGCCCUGGAGGUGGGGUGAACUCAGGGUGCAGCGGCUUGAGACAUGAUUCACAGCCUGACUCAUUCAGCCAAGGGCCACCUGAGGGGACGGCUUUUCCCUGGGAGGCGGGCUCAGCCCUCCCAGGUGCUGUGUCCCCUUUAAGAAGGGGACAAAAGGCUCUCUUCACACAUCAAAGAAAAUUUGGGCCACAGUUAGGCUUCUCUGCUUUCAGGAUAUGAUACAAUUUUUUUUUUUCUUUUUUUUCUGGUACUGGGGAUCGAACUCAGGACCUUGCACUUGCAAGGCAGGCAAGGUGCCACUGAGCUAAAUCCCCAGCCCUUCUUUUGGUUUUUUGAGCCAGGGUCUCACUGGGUAGCCCAGGCUGGCCUUGAACUUGGAGCAUUUCUCCUACCUCAGCCUCCUGAAUGCUGGGCAUGUGCCAUGGUGUCUGGGAGAACAUAAUACAAUUCUUAUCAAGUCUAAUACAGUACUUUCUUUUAAAUACAUUAUUUCUAAUAGUUUUCAAUUUACAGAAAAGAUGGCACAGAGAGGUACCACAAACCUACUUUCCCCCAUUAUUAACAUCUUACGUUACUGGAGAUAUUUGCCAUACUGAAUGAAUACUGAUAUAUUAUUAUUAAACUAUGGCCCAGAAAAAAAAAAAGCAGGUGUCCCUCUAUGCAGUCACAGCUUCUGUCUCAGUGUUACUUGUAUUCACAUUCUGCCUGUGGCUUUUUUCUAUUUGUUUUGAUGUAGGGUCUUGCUAUGUAGUUCAUGCUGGCCUUGAACUCUUGGCACUCUUCCUGCCUCAGCCUCCCAGGAGAGCUAACCCUCAGUGGGUUGGACUGGGCAAUCCCAUGGUCCAGGUGUGAGCCCUGGCUCUCUGGUAAGCUGUGGAGAGAGAUACCUGGGCCUUCCGAGCCGUGCCAGGGCUUCAUCUCCAGAAUGGCAGCAUCCCACUGGCUCGGGGGCUGCUCGGGUGUCCAGUACAUUGUGGGUGCUCAUUACCCCGGAUCAAUCACUGUUCUGCGUGGCAGAACAUCAAAGGGUGGAAGGUUCUGUAUUUGUGCUGCCCAGCGUGGUAGCUGUCAAGCCACAUGCGGCUCCUGAGCACGUGAGGUGUGGCUAGUGUGACUGAGGAACUGGAAAUUGAUUUCUAAUUGGGAUUUAAGUGUAAAUAGCCACAUGUGGCUAGUGCCCCGCAGCCCAGUGUGGCGUACAUAGCCUGAUACACCUGGGUUCUCAGGCCUGUCCUGGCUGUGAGGCCACCCCCUGGCCUUAUACCCAUGCCAGAUGCUACCUCGUGGCCUCUGGGGGUGCUAGGCUUGUCCUAACCUGGUCAGCAUGGCCCAGGGCGGAGCUUGUGACUGGCAGGCUGGCAGGCAGGUCGGCCCACUGGCGACCAGCAGUCUCCAGCAGCAGCCCUUUGGAAGGGGAGGGGACCCCUGGACAGCUUCCGAUGGCUUACCCCUCACAGCCGAACACCUCCUGGGUGGUACCAAUCCGCUCUGUGGAUUUCCCAGAGGGUAGCCUGAACUCGAGUGAUCUCUUCUCCAACUGUACUUCCUCCUCUUCUGCCCCAUGAAGGGCGGAGCCAGUGCCCAACGGGGGGGGGGGGGGGCUCGUCCCUGUCCCCUCCGCAGGCCUCCUGGGUCUGUCCUCCUCUGUCUCUAACCCUCCCACAAUCCAGGCUGGCCAUCAGCCCCAAGAUGACUUCAAAGCCUGGAUCACAGCCCCCAGCUUUGCGACUGUCCUGCCCGGGCCUCAGCAGGAACCGCAGCCUUCUCAUCUGGUUCACUAAGCCUCGUGUGACCCGCCCGCCCCAGGGUGCUGUUUCCCAGCUAAGCAGCCUUUUCCUUUUCUUUUGGCAGACCUGGUCCUUCUUGCUUCUGGGCCUUUGUACAAAUCUGCUCUCCGCCUAGAACGCGGGUUUCUCUCAAUGGACAGGGCCCGCUGACACGUUCCACCUCUCCUUACACCUGGGGCCUGCCGGGACCGAGCUGUGCGCCCUGCCCCGCACCCGGUCGGGGUGCAUGAUCAACGCCUGCAUCCAGUCCGCGAAGGGGGCGCCACGCCAGCUCCGGGCCUCUCGGGGGGGGUCACACUCUGAUGGGAAGGAUGGAAAGUACAGGGGAUGUAGAAACCAAUACAAAUUGUGCCUGAAGAAGAAAACCUACAAGCGAGGACGAGGAGGGGUCUGGAGCGGGGCAGAGCCUCCUGCGGGGCGGGGAGGGGCUGGCACGCUGCACUCUCUGCGGCUGCGCGCACGGCCCGAGGGCGCCGCGGGGGACGGGGCGGAGCGUGUGGCCGCCGGCCCCGCCCCUCCCCGCCCCCGGCGCGCGGCCC
Molecule: long non-coding RNA, 3655 nt
Filed under: Heterocephalus glaber (naked mole-rat)
Lineage: Eukaryota; Metazoa; Chordata; Mammalia; Rodentia; Bathyergidae
Description: lncRNA (ENSHGLG00000037890.1)
Source: RNAcentral